This 528-nucleotide ribosomal RNA is filed under the name fungal sp. SK24. RNAcentral's name for it is "eukaryotic LSU rRNA". The stretch from base 142 to 295 matches the Rfam family "5.8S ribosomal RNA". The record is from RNAcentral. Lineage: Eukaryota; Fungi.
AUUCGAGGUGCGGGCCCUCGGGGCCCACCUCCCACCCGUGUUGCCCGAACCUAUGUUGCCUCGGCGGGCCCCGCGCCCGCCGACGGCCCCCCUGAACGCUGUCUGAAGUUGCAGUCUGAGACCUAUAACGAAAUUAGUUAAAACUUUCAACAACGGAUCUCUUGGUUCCGGCAUCGAUGAAGAACGCAGCGAAUUGCGAUAACUAAUGUGAAUUGCAGAAUUCAGUGAAUCAUCGAGUCUUUGAACGCACAUUGCGCCCUCUGGUAUUCCGGAGGGCAUGCCUGUCCGAGCGUCAUUGCUGCCCUCAAGCCCGGCUUGUGUGUUGGGCCCCGUCCCCCCCGCCGGGGGGACGGGCCCGAAAGGCAGCGGCGGCACCGCGUCCGGUCCUCGAGCGUAUGGGGCUUCGUCACCCGCUCUAGUAGGCCCGGCCGGCGCCAGCCGACCCCCAACCUUUAAUUAUCUCAGGUUGACCUCGGAUCAGGUAGGGAUACCCGCUGAACUUAAGCAUAUCAAUAAAGCGGAGGAAUA